Hemicordylus capensis (graceful crag lizard) is the source of this 1248-nucleotide long non-coding RNA. RefSeq lists it as uncharacterized. The transcript is spliced from 3 exons. The record is from RefSeq and is a predicted model, not a curated record. NCBI's taxonomy places the organism in Eukaryota, Metazoa, Chordata, Lepidosauria, Squamata, Cordylidae.
CACGACUGAAUCCUUUUCUCUACAAAAACAAAACCCUGAACAUAGAAAACUAGCAUGUCAGGAACAUGGCUAUGCCAGAGCCUUUCUCCCUGAGGAGGAAAAAGGAGAAGGUACUACUGCUCCAACUCAGCACAGCAGCUGCUGCCAGAGCAAAAUGGCAAAUGUCUUCCUUACAAGGAUAGCCACAACAGCUGAGGAUCUGUGCAGAGAGAUAGAUGUGGUGAGGGUGCCGUAGAGGAUUUUCAUUCCGAAGAGAGUGCAAGACAACCUGCCUUAUGCAGUGAAGGAAGAGUAAGACUGACAGCUGAUCCAGCAUUCCAGUUCAUCUGUAAUGGCAGUUGUGUGUGAAACAGUGACCUGGCAGCCUCCACAGAGAGUGAGAGCCUACAUGAGUCAGGAGUCAAUACCAGGGCCCCCAAACCAGGAAUACUUUGAGUCCCAAAUCCCCAAGCUGUUUUAAUGGCUGCUGUUUUGCAUAAUGUCCACUUCUCUGUACUUCCCACUGGGGCCAAGUUCCUAUCCAUGCACCAGUUCCCAUGGCCCUGGAUUGUCCUCAUGGCUCCCAAACCAAUUGUCCCUUCCCCAUGGUUUUUGCUCAUCCUUGUGACUUGGUCAUGUGGUGGAUGGCUGCCUGGGUCCUUUUCAUGGACGGAUGCCUGCUUCCUUUGCCCCCUGUUCUAAUGUGGGAUCCUAACAUCCUAUUCUAUUCCUGAGCUAUUUAUUUAAAAUAUUAUCAUGCCACUUCUUCCAUAGCUCAAGGAGGCUUCUGAUAUUUUCAAAAACAAACUUCUACAAAUAAUUAACAUCACAUCAUGCAAAAUAGCAGCCAUAAAAACAAUUUAAUUCUUACUGCAUGAUUAAAAGUGUCUAUACUAAUAAGCAGUGAUAGAAAUUAAAAGGAAAAUGGAUUCAGAUCAAUGAACGCUUGCUUUAAAAGAAGCGUUUUUUUAAAAAGUCUACAUCUCAACAUGAAAGCCUCAGGAACUGCAGAAUGGCAGUUCCUGCCUUCCUACUCCAUUUAGAAGGAAGAUGGGCUUCAGUACUGUGCAUCUUCUUUCCCGAGCAUCUUCAAGGGUAGUUCCACAAGGAUAUUGGUUCUUGAGGAUGGGGGGUUGAGAUCCAGAAAAGAGCUUGUAGGUCUAAUUUACUGUACAGCUGUUCCACCAACACUCCAUCUUUUUUUCAAACCAUUCCAUUAUCCAAAAUUAAGAAUUGGCAUGAUAAUAUAACAUUGCAUUUCCAAACCUU